GGUGAGGAAUACAUGGGUAACCUACCCUAGAGUGGGGAAUAACUAGCCGAAAGGUUAGCUAAUACCGCGUACGCUUCUUGGACUUCGGUUCAGGGAGGAAAGCGCUACCGAGGGUAGCGCGCUCUUGGAUGGGCUCAUGUCCUAUCAGCUUGUUGGUGAGGUAACGGCUCACCAUGGCUUCGACGGGUAGCUGGUCUGAGAGGACGAUCAGCCACACUGGCACUGCGACACGGGCCAGACUCCUACGGGAGGCAGCAGUAAGGAAUAUUGCGCAAUGGGCGAAAGCCUGACGCAGCGACGCCGCGUGGAGGAUGAAGGUCUUCGGAUUGUAAACCCCUUUCGGGAGGGAAGAUGGAAUGGGGUAACCCAUUCGGACGGUACCUCCAGAAGCAGCCACGGCUAACUUCGUGCCAGCAGCCGCGGUAAUACGAAGGUGGCAAGCGUUAUUCGGAUUUACUGGGCGUACAGGGAGCGUAGGCGGUUCGGUAAGCCCUCUGUGAAAUCUCCAGGCUUAACCUGGAAAAGUCGGGGGGGACUGCUGGGCUAGAGGACGGGAGAGGAGCGCGGAAUUCCCGGUGUAGCGGUGAAAUGCGUAGAGAUCGGGAGGAAGGCCGGUGGCGAAGGCGGCGCUCUGGAACGUAUCUGACGCUGAGGCUCGAAAGCGUGGGGAGCAAACAGGAUUAGAUACCCUGGUAGUCCACGCCUUAAACUAUGAAUACUAAGUGUCGGCGGUUUACCGCCGGUGCCGCAGCU
RNAcentral lists this ribosomal RNA (753 nucleotides) under uncultured bacterium. RNAcentral describes it as "bacterial SSU rRNA". It matches the Rfam family "Bacterial small subunit ribosomal RNA", at positions 105 to 853 of the family's 1533-position model. The record is from RNAcentral.